Molecule: ribosomal RNA, 465 nt
Filed under: uncultured bacterium
Lineage: Bacteria
Description: partial 16S ribosomal RNA
Rfam family: Bacterial small subunit ribosomal RNA
Source: RNAcentral
GACGAACGCUGGCGGCGUGCUUAACACAUGCAAGUCGAACGGAAAGGCCCCCUUGUGGGGUACUCGAGUGGCGAACGGGUGAGUAACACGUGAGUAACCUACCCUUGACUUUGGGAUAACUUCUGGAAACUGGGGCUAAUACCGGAUAGGAGCUCCUGCUGCUUGGUGGGGGUUGGAAAGUUUCGGCGGUUGGGGAUGGACUCGCGGCUUAUCAGCUUGUUGGUGGGGUAGUGGCUCACCAAGGCUUUGACGGGUAGCCGGCCUGAGAGGGUGACCGGCCACAUUGGGACUGAGAUACGGCCCAGACUCCUACGGGAGGCAGCAGUGGGGAAUAUUGCACAAUGGGCGGAAGCCUGAUGCAGCAACGCCGCGUGCGGGAUGACGGCCUUCGGGUUGUAAACCGCUUUCGCCUGUGACGAAGCGUGAGUGACGGUAAUGGGUAAAGAAGCACCGGCUAACUACGUG